Molecule: ribosomal RNA, 1369 nt
Filed under: uncultured bacterium
Lineage: Bacteria
Description: bacterial SSU rRNA
Rfam family: Bacterial small subunit ribosomal RNA
Source: RNAcentral
GACGAACGCUGGCGGCGUGCCUAAUACAUGCAAGUAGAACGCUGAAGAGAGGAGCUUGCUCUUCUUGGAUGAGUUGCGAACGGGUGAGUAACGCGUAGGUAACCUGCCUUGUAGCGGGGGAUAACUAUUGGAAACGAUAGCUAAUACCGCAUAACAAUGGAUGACACAUGUCAUUUAUUUGAAAGGGGCAAUUGCUCCACUACAAGAUGGACCUGCGUUGUAUUAGCUAGUAGGUGAGGUAACGGCUCACCUAGGCGACGAUACAUAGCCGACCUGAGAGGGUGAUCGGCCACACUGGGACUGAGACACGGCCCAGACUCCUACGGGAGGCAGCAGUAGGGAAUCUUCGGCAAUGGGGGCAACCCUGACCGAGCAACGCCGCGUGAGUGAAGAAGGUUUUCGGAUCGUAAAGCUCUGUUGUAAGUCAAGAACGAGUGUGAGAGUGGAAAGUUCACACUGUGACGGUAGCUUACCAGAAAGGGACGGCUAACUACGUGCCAGCAGCCGCGGUAAUACGUAGGUCCCGAGCGUUGUCCGGAUUUAUUGGGCGUAAAGCGAGCGCAGGCGGUUUGAUAAGUCUGAAGUUAAAGGCUGUGGCUCAACCAUAGUUCGCUUUGGAAACUGUCAAACUUGAGUGCAGAAGGGGAGAGUGGAAUUCCAUGUGUAGCGGUGAAAUGCGUAGAUAUAUGGAGGAACACCGGUGGCGAAAGCGGCUCUCUGGUCUGUAACUGACGCUGAGGCUCGAAAGCGUGGGGAGCGAACAGGAUUAGAUACCCUGGUAGUCCACGCCGUAAACGAUGAGUGCUAGGUGUUGGAUCCUUUCCGGGAUUCAGUGCCGCAGCUAACGCAUUAAGCACUCCGCCUGGGGAGUACGACCGCAAGGUUGAAACUCAAAGGAAUUGACGGGGGCCCGCACAAGCGGUGGAGCAUGUGGUUUAAUUCGAAGCAACGCGAAGAACCUUACCAGGUCUUGACAUCCCGAUGCUAUUUCUAGAGAUAGAAAGUUACUUCGGUACAUCGGUGACAGGUGGUGCAUGGUUGUCGUCAGCUCGUGUCGUGAGAUGUUGGGUUAAGUCCCGCAACGAGCGCAACCCCUAUUGUUAGUUGCCAUCAUUCAGUUGGGCACUCUAGCGAGACUGCCGGUAAUAAACCGGAGGAGGGUGGGGAUGACGUCAAAUCAUCAUGCCCCUUAUGACCUGGGCUACACACGUGCUACAAUGGUUGGUACAACGAGUUGCGAGUCGGUGACGGCAAGCUAAUCUCUUAAAGCCAAUCUCAGUUCGGAUUGUAGGCUGCAACUCGCCUACAUGAAGUCGGAAUCGCUAGUAAUCGCGGAUCAGCACGCCGCGGUGAAUACGUUCCCGGGCCU